RNAcentral lists this unclassified non-coding RNA (356 nucleotides) under soil metagenome. RNAcentral describes it as "partial contains 5.8S ribosomal RNA, internal transcribed spacer 2, and large subunit ribosomal RNA". The stretch from base 1 to 120 matches the Rfam family "5.8S ribosomal RNA", at positions 35 to 154 of the family's 154-position model. The record is from RNAcentral.
GAUGAAGAACGUAGCGAAAUGCGAUAAGUAAUGCGAAUUGCAGAAUUCAGUGAAUCAUCGAAUCUUUGAACGCACAUUGCGCCCGCCAGUACUCUGGCGGGCAUGCCUGUCUGAGCGUCAUUUCAACCCUCGCGCCCGGCUUCUGUCGGGGGCGGUGUUGGGGAUCGGCCUCCCGUCUUCCGGGCGGCCGGCCCCUAAAUGGAGUGGCGACCGCGCCGUAGCCUCCUCUGCGUAGUAGUGAAACACUCGCGGGCGGAGAGCGGUGCGGCCCGCCGUAAAACCCACAACUCUUCUAAGGUUGACCUCAGAUCAGGUAGGAAUACCCGCUGAACUUAAGCAUAUCAAUAAGCGGAGGA